GGAGUCUCGCUCUCUCACCCAGGCUGGAGUGCAGUGGCGCCAUCUCGGCUCACUGCAAGCUCCGCCUCGAGGGUUCACGCCAUUCUCCUGCCACAGCCUCCCGAGUAGCUGGGAUUACAGGUGCCUGCCACGAGGACCGGCUAAUUUUUUUGUAUUUUUAGUAGAGACAGGGUUCACCAUGUUAGCCAGGAUGGUCUUGAUCUCCUGACCUCGUGAUCUGCCUGCCUCAGCCUCCCAAAGUACUGGGAUUACAGGCGUGAGCCACCACACCUGGCAGCUAUCCUUUUUUGAAAAUAAGUCUUUGUUUAGUUUGUUAUAACAAAAUAGAUUGAGUAAUUUACAAACAAUAGAGAUUUAUUGCUCACAGUUCUGGAGGGUUGGAAGUUCAAGGCAUCAGCAAAUUUGGUGUCUGGUAAGUACCCUCCCUCUGCUUCAAAGAUGGUACCUUCUUGCCGUGUCUUUAUGUAGUGGAAAGGGCAAACAGACUUCCUCAGGCCUCUUUUGUAAGGGCACUAAUCCCCUUCAUGAGGGCAGAGCCUAAAGGCCCUACUUCUUAAUAUUAUUGCUUUAGGGAUUGGAUUUCAACAAUUUGGGGGAACACAAACAUUCAGACCAUAGUGUCAAACCACUUAAUUUUUUCAAAACCAAACUUUUCCAAUAAAGCAGUAAUCAAAAACUAGUAAACCUUGGCAAUUAAAGCUGGCCCUGGAAUCCCCUGCCAGUUUUUCUUUCUCUUCUGGAUGACCUCUCUAUUUCCAGAGUACUUACGAUGUCCCAAAUCUCCCUUCCAACCCUGUGUAACCCUUGCUCUUCAGAAUGCUUUGAUUUGCUUUAUCUUCUCGUCAGAAUUCACAUUCUCUUAUUUGUUGAAUGAGUGACCUUUAGUUCAUACUAAGGUGUAGUUUUUUGUUUGUUUUUUUCCAGACAGUCUCUCUCUGUCUCCCAGACUGGAGUGCAGUGGCAUGAUCUUGGCUGACUCCAACCUCCGCCUCCCAAGUUCAAGUGAUUCUCAUGCCUCGGCCUCCAGGGUAGCUGGGAUCACAGGUGUGCACCACCAUGCCCUUUUUUGCAAUUUUAGUAGAGCCAGGGUUUUGCUGUGUUGACCAGGCUGGUCUCAAACUCUUGUCUUCAAGUGAUCCUCCUGCCUCAGGCUCCCAAAGUGUUGGGAUUACAGGCAUGAGCCACUGCCCCGGCCUAACAUGAAGUUUGCUGGUAACAAGCUUCUGUAUU
Molecule: long non-coding RNA, 1230 nt
Filed under: Macaca fascicularis (crab-eating macaque)
Lineage: Eukaryota; Metazoa; Chordata; Mammalia; Primates; Cercopithecidae
Description: lncRNA (ENSMFAG00000055052.1)
Source: RNAcentral